This is a non-coding RNA of Acanthosepion pharaonis, 107 nucleotides long. The record is from the annotation of a GenBank genome assembly. NCBI's taxonomy places the organism in Eukaryota, Metazoa, Mollusca, Cephalopoda, Sepiida, Sepiidae.
CACAUCACGUUGAAACACCGGUUCCCAUACGAUCACCGAAGUUAAGCAACGUCGAUUCUGGUCAGUACCUAAAUGGGUGUUCACUUUGGAAUAGCAAAAGCUGUAAG